CACAACUCCUUCUCCAGUAGAUCAAUGACUACUUCGGUGCUGCUUCCCUUCCCUUCCUUGACCUCUGUCUCAAUUUCUGGCGAUAGACUGUCCACCAAUAUUCAUUACAAGCCUACCGACUCACACAGGGAUGUAAUGUACCAGCAGGGAGAUUAUAUCUGUGGAUAAAUACUUUCAAUCUUUCCCUGGUGACUCACCUGUGCCAGUUUCUGGGUUCCUUUGGGAGCAGCUUGUGCUGCCCUGUACCUACAAAGGGAGUGUCCCAGUCUCAGAUUUACUGGCAAUUUGAGAUGUUCAGCAUGAAUUUUUCCACAAGCUCAUCGCUGGGAAUGACGAUUUGACAGGACAAGACCCACGGUUCAGAAACAGAACAAAACAGUUCAAAGAUCAACUGGAACAGGGCAACUGGUUGGUUCUGAUCUCUGACCUCAGGAAGUCUGACCAGAACCAGCAUCAGUGUCACAUUUACAGGAGCACGAGUGUGAGCUAUUAUUGGGAGCAAACUGAUCUCGUUCAUCUCUCUGCAAGAGAUACAGAACUGAGGAUUCCUAGCAUUGGUGUCUCUGGAAUUCUGUGUGGAAAGUCUUGGUACAAUUUUAACCCAACCCUCCUAUUGGGAAAUUGACGGGAUUGUGAGUAACGCUGGUUGAAAGCGGUGGAGAGUAAUAUUGAGAUAAAAAAACAAAAAAACUGCGGAUGCUGGAAAUCCAAAACAAAAACAGAAUUACCUGGAAAAACUCAGCAGGUUCGGUGGAGAAGAAAAGAGUUGACGUUUCGAGUCCUCAUGACCCUUCAACAGAACUGAGUAAUUUACACCCAGGUCAAUAUCAGUGUUCCACCAGUCCCGUAGAUUUCCUGGUCCGCAAAUUAAUUAAAAAAUCCCCGCUCUAUUUCAA
Carcharodon carcharias (great white shark) is the source of this 896-nucleotide long non-coding RNA. RefSeq lists it as uncharacterized. The record is from RefSeq and is a predicted model, not a curated record. The transcript has 2 exons. NCBI's taxonomy places the organism in Eukaryota, Metazoa, Chordata, Chondrichthyes, Lamniformes, Lamnidae.